This 248-nucleotide ribosomal RNA is filed under the name uncultured bacterium. Its description in RNAcentral is "partial 16S ribosomal RNA". It matches the Rfam family "Bacterial small subunit ribosomal RNA", at positions 335 to 581 of the family's 1533-position model. The record is from RNAcentral.
ACUCCUACGGGAGGCAGCAGUAGGGAAUAUUGGUCAAUGGGCGAGGGCCUGAACCAGCCAUGCCGCGUGCAGGAAGACGGCCUUCUGGGUUGUAAACUGCUUUUGGCCGGGAACAAAAAGCCCCUGCGGGGGAAAUUGAGUGUACCGGCAGAAUAAGCACCGGCUAACUCCGUGCCAGCAGCCGCGGUAAUACGGAGGGUGCAAGCGUUGUCCGGAUUUAUUGGGUUUAAAGGGUGCGUAGGCGGGCC